Molecule: long non-coding RNA, 211 nt
Filed under: Vulpes vulpes (red fox)
Lineage: Eukaryota; Metazoa; Chordata; Mammalia; Carnivora; Canidae
Description: ST7 overlapping transcript 4 conserved region 4 (ENSVVUG00000010452.1)
Rfam family: ST7 overlapping transcript 4 conserved region 4
Source: RNAcentral
UUACCAGUUUUAGAUCGAGGUCGGAAACUGACACGAAAACUUAAAUUCUGUGAUGGGUCACAUGCAUGUAACUCAUGGUGUUGCAGUUCGCGAACACAUAAAAGGACAAUUUUCUAAUUAACGUCAGCUUGGAGUUUAGGAUACAUCCCAGACAUCUUAGUUGCCCUUACAUAUUUUUGGAGACAUUUGUCUCAGCCAUUAAUGAAGCAAC